GGAAAACUUACCAGGUCCAGACAUAGUAAGGAUUGACAGAUUGAUAGCUCUUUCUUGAUUUUAUGGGUGGUGGUGCAUGGCCGUUCUUAGUUCGUGGAGUGAUUUGUCUGCUUAAUUGCGUUAACGAACGAGACCUUAACCUGCUAAAUAGGAGCGCAUAUCUCCGGAUAAGCGCCUUUCUUCUUAGAGGGACUGUAUGCGUUUUAGCAUAUGGAAGUUUGAGGCUAAAA
This 230-nucleotide ribosomal RNA is filed under the name uncultured eukaryote. RNAcentral's name for it is "partial 18S ribosomal RNA". It matches the Rfam family "Eukaryotic small subunit ribosomal RNA", at positions 1208 to 1456 of the family's 1831-position model. The record is from RNAcentral.